AUGUAAAGAUGUCUAGGUUUUAGACAUCCAACAUCGCAAACUUAUUCCAAACCUUCUCAAUUUUUUAUCAUAGCCUCUACAUGCAAUAACAUGACGUCCAGACAAGUUUCUUUAUUUUCGGACUUUUUACGGAUUUUAUAUAAUUUUAAAAUACUUUUUCCAUAAGUUUUAUCUCAUGUUACGACAACAAGAUGUUUCACAUUUCAUUUGAGCUUCUGGAUACGGUCUUAACAUACACCAAAUAUCGUGAAUAUAAUUUUUUGAAUAAAAAAAUUCCAUUAUUAAUGCACCUACAGUUCAAAUUUGAAGUUUCCAAAAAAAUCAAUGAAACAAAAAAAAACUAAUGAAAUAUACUAAAAAAAGUUUAAAUAUCCCCAAAUUUGAACAAGAAGUUUGAAAUAAUGUGGGAAGGCAUAAGAAAAAAUUUGGAGCAAAAAAACAAAAAACAAAAAAAAACUUCCCCGAGUGUAUUCCCUGGCUCUCGCGGAAGGGCCUCUUCCCCGAGUGCAAAACUCACAGCACUCGGGGAAGCCACCAUUUUCCCCGAGUGCCAAGCUUUUGCACUCUAAAGGGCCGAGAGUUUUUUAUGGAUCUCGAGGAAGAAUUUUUUUCCAUUUCAAGCUCCAACGGCGCCGUUUGUUUGGGACGUCAAGAAACACUUUUCUUCCCUGACCGCUUGUCUUCCCCG
Molecule: long non-coding RNA, 688 nt
Filed under: Sorghum bicolor (sorghum)
Lineage: Eukaryota; Viridiplantae; Streptophyta; Magnoliopsida; Poales; Poaceae
Description: long non-coding RNA (SBIC_LNC009010)
Source: RNAcentral